This 505-nucleotide ribosomal RNA is filed under the name uncultured bacterium. RNAcentral describes it as "bacterial SSU rRNA". It matches the Rfam family "Bacterial small subunit ribosomal RNA", at positions 1 to 524 of the family's 1533-position model. The record is from RNAcentral.
UAGAGUUUGAUCAUGGCUCAGGACGAACGCUGGCGGCGUGCUUAACACAUGCAAGUCGAACGAUGAAGCCCAGCUUGCUGGGUGGAAGAGUGGCGAACGGGUGAGUAACACGUGAGUAACCUGCCCUUCACUCUGGGAUAAGCGCUGGAAACGGCGUCUAAUACUGGAUACGACCCUUACAGGCAUCUGUUGGGGGUGGAAAGAUUUAUCGGUGAAGGAUGGGCUCGCGGCCUAUCAGGUAGUUGGUGAGGUAACGGCUCACCAAGCCGACGACGGGUAGCCGGCCUGAGAGGGUGACCGGCCACACUGGGACUGAGACACGGCCCAGACUCCUACGGGAGGCAGCAGUGGGGAAUAUUGCACAAUGGGCGAAAGCCUGAUGCAGCAACGCCGCGUGAGGGAUGACGGCCUUCGGGUUGUAAACCUCUUUUAGUAGGGAAGAAGCGAAAGUGACGGUACCUGCAGAAAAAGCACCGGCUAACUACGUGCCAGCAGCCGCGGUAAU